GCCUGAUGGCCAAUGGUUGGCGCUCUGGUCUUUGAUACCAGAGGCUUCAGGUUCGAAUUCUGGUAUUGGCA
Molecule: non-coding RNA, 71 nt
Organism: Caerostris darwini
Lineage: Eukaryota; Metazoa; Arthropoda; Arachnida; Araneae; Araneidae
Source: the annotation of a GenBank genome assembly